RNAcentral lists this long non-coding RNA (295 nucleotides) under Vigna radiata. RNAcentral's name for it is "long non-coding RNA (VRAD_LNC017183)". Lineage: Eukaryota; Viridiplantae; Streptophyta; Magnoliopsida; Fabales; Fabaceae. The record is from RNAcentral.
GAGAGGUUAAAAAAUGGUGGAAAAGGGAUUUUUGAGAAGGUGGGUGUAGGGAAAAGUGAAGAGGGUGCCUUGGAGAGAGUUUGAGAGUACCUAAGACGAGUGAAAGUCUGUAUGAGACACUUGAGAGAAUCAUAAAGGGUAUUAAAAUAUGCAAUGGGCCAACUCACGCUAAGCCCAACUGAAAAACCCAACUUUGCAAUCUGUGACGCUAGUGCUUAAUGCGAGGUAGCGCUCAAUGCUAGGUUCGAUUUUGGAAUUCCCCCUUUUUGGCUUUCCUUAAGCAUCAUAGUCCUGA